GGUGCACCAAGCAUCCCGCGUUCACGCAGAGCCCGGGGAAGGGCCACACCCUAGGGGUGUAAUAUAGGCAGCCUACCCUGAUGCAAGCAUUAGUAGCUGAUUCCACGGCUCGAGCACGUGAUCUAUAGGUCACACGGAGACAACUUAGCCAUUGCUCCAAGGCUCCGCUUUUAGGUAAGUAUGAAGAGAAUUAUUCCACCUAUUUGAUGUCGAAUACUGUUUUUUCAAGAAACAAAAGUAUACAGUAACAACUUUUACAGGUAUUUUAGCUGAAAUCACAGUUUUCUGUUCCUCUCGCUAAAUGCUCUGACU
Molecule: long non-coding RNA, 312 nt
Filed under: Nicotiana tabacum (common tobacco)
Lineage: Eukaryota; Viridiplantae; Streptophyta; Magnoliopsida; Solanales; Solanaceae
Description: long non-coding RNA (NTAB_LNC012699)
Source: RNAcentral